GUUUGUUUACUUUACUUUGGAUAGAGCCGAAAAAAGUUUGUGAAUAAUGUUAAUGUUCGUUGAUAAAUUGCAAUACAUCAUGGUUGUUUGACUCGAUUGCCACAUUCUGUUGAAACCAAACCUACAAAUGAAUACAAUGCAUGAAUGUGGAGCUUAGCUCUGAACUGGUGUCUUUAAUAGAUAAAAAUGGCAUGGACAUGAUACGGUGUCAGAUGCUGAUCGACUUUGUCAUAAUUAACUCAUACUAAGCAACAACAACAAUAACAACUGCUGAAGAAUGUUCCAGUCUGAGAGUUGGACACAAUUGUAUCUGUAUAAGUUGUGAAAUAUCUUUGGGAAGGCACUCAGGAAGACAAAAUUACAGGCCAGAGACUUAUGGAAAGAAUUGAAAGUGAUAUUAUAUGUAUAGAAAAAGAAAUGUCUCCGAGACAGAUUUCUGUUGGAUGCUCGUGCAUGUCUUGUUUGCAGGAUGAACUCACCUCAAAAGCAUUAAUCUUUCGAACGCCGGAACGCGGAUCUCGACCAGACACAAUGUAAAAUCUAUUGUGUCUGGUAUCUCGGCAUAUGAGAGGUUAAUAU
Long non-coding RNA from Pectinophora gossypiella (pink bollworm), 579 nucleotides. RefSeq lists it as uncharacterized. The transcript is spliced from 4 exons. NCBI's taxonomy places the organism in Eukaryota, Metazoa, Arthropoda, Insecta, Lepidoptera, Gelechiidae. The record is from RefSeq and is a predicted model, not a curated record.